CCGAGGAGCGCACGCCACAGCAGCAACGAGGAGUAGAAAUUGAGCGCGUACUCCGAGGAGAGAGCCAGAGGCGGAGGCUACUUGUGCGCCGUCCUCAAGUACAAAUCCACCACCACCACCACCCCACUCCAGCCCACCAACCCACAUCCUCCCGUACUCUACCACGUACGUACCGGACCCUCCCCACUCGCGCGCAAGCUACUUUUAUUCCUGGCGGCGGCGGCGGCGGCGGCGGCGGAGUCCGUCUGAUACCGCACCUGGUGCGUGCCUGAGAAGAACGGGAGAGUCAUCCGGAGCCGCUCGUCCAACUGACCGCCUGUCGGGCCCUACCGCCAUGGGAGAUCGCCUCCGAGCUAGGUGAGGUGAGAUGGGUUCGUCGACCCACCGACCGCUCCUCGGCGCCCGAUCUGAUCUGAGUACCUGCCUACUUGGUCAGCAGCGCUCUUCCUCCUCCUCCUCCUCCGUCGGCAUUCGGCAAGACGAGAGGCUACGGCUACGUCUAUAUAGCUAGGCCUAGGAGUAGGCUGAGCAGUAGCGCGCGCUAGUCGGCCGGCGCCCAGCACGUGGUGGGGGUUCACCGAGGAGGCUGCUGCGGUUGUCCGCCGUCUCGUCUCUCUCCUCACUUUCUUCCCAGGGCGGGGCGUGGCUGGGGCGGGGCGGGGCGGGGGNNNNNNNNNNNNNNNNNNNGGGGCGGGGCUAGCUGACGGCGACGUGUCCCGCUUUCCAUGAUGGGGAUGGGGAUGUCUCGUCCGCUUCCGCUACUUGCUUCUGCCUGCCAAUGGAGUGGUGGCCGGGAACGGCUUCCCGCGAGCUAGUGGCGUCCGUCGUGGCAGCCAUGCGCAUCAAAUCUUAUUGCUUGCCUGCUAGAUUCCUUGGAUUGUAUCGUGACGAGAUUUUCCCUCUCCUCUCUUUUCCCUUUGUGCCCAGCCAGCGGAGUUAAUCCGAGCUUCGUGGCUCCCGUCACUCCGGCCGGUUCCUUGGCUUGUACGUAUGCGGCGGAGGGUUUGAGGAUUGCUGAGCGAGCUGCUUGUGGGCGGCCAUGGAGCAUCCCGCGACAAGGAGCGACGAUGGCGGCAUGCGUGGUGCCGACAUGGACGAGCUGGAUCUCAUGGAGGAGUUCCUGCUGGCGUCGCCCGGGCCCGACUUCCCCGAGUUCCUGCACCCGGGCGGCGCGGCGUCGCCGAGCCCCUUCUCCCCCCUCUUCGACCUCGGCAGCACCAUCACCACCGCCCCGGCC
This 1237-nucleotide long non-coding RNA is filed under the name Hordeum vulgare. Its description in RNAcentral is "long non-coding RNA (HVUL_LNC019888)". Lineage: Eukaryota; Viridiplantae; Streptophyta; Magnoliopsida; Poales; Poaceae. The record is from RNAcentral.